Molecule: ribosomal RNA, 497 nt
Filed under: uncultured bacterium
Lineage: Bacteria
Description: partial 16S ribosomal RNA
Rfam family: Bacterial small subunit ribosomal RNA
Source: RNAcentral
GAUGAACGCUGGCGGCGUGCCUAAUACAUGCAAGUCGAGCGAACGGACGAGAAGCUUGCUUCUCUGAUGUUAGCGGCGGACGGGUGAGUAACACGUGGAUAACCUACCUAUAAGACUGGGAUAACUUCGGGAAACCGGAGCUAAUGCCGGAUAAUAUUUUGAACCGCAUGGUUCAAAAGUGAAAGACGGUCUUGCUGCCACUUAUAGAUGGAUCCGCGCUGCAUUAGCUAGUUGGUAAGGUAACGGCUUACCAAGGCAACGAUGCAUAGCCGACCUGAGAGGGUGAUCGGCCACACUGGAACUGAGACACGGUCCAGACUCCUACGGGAGGCAGCAGUAGGGAAUCUUCCGCAAUGGGCGAAAGCCUGACGGAGCGACGCCGCGUGAGUGAUGAAGGUCUUCGGAUCGUAAAACUCUGUUAUUAGGGAAGAACAUAUGUGUAAGUAACUGUGCACAUCUUGACGGUACCUAAUCAGAAAGCCACGGCUAACUACGUG